RNAcentral lists this ribosomal RNA (296 nucleotides) under Phialocephala fortinii. Its description in RNAcentral is "partial 28S ribosomal RNA". It matches the Rfam family "Eukaryotic large subunit ribosomal RNA", at positions 354 to 670 of the family's 3401-position model. Lineage: Eukaryota; Fungi; Ascomycota; Leotiomycetes; Helotiales; Mollisiaceae. The record is from RNAcentral.
UGAUCGAARGAUGAAAAGCACUUKGGAAAGAGAGUUAAACAGUACGUGAAAUUGUUGAAAGGGAAGCGCUUGCAAACCAGACUUGCGGGCGGUCGAUCAUCCGAGGUUCUCCCCGGUGCACUCGAUCGUUCUCAGGCCAGCAUCGGUUUCCGGGGUGGGAUAAAGGCGGUGGGAAUGUGGCUCUUCGGAGUGUUAUAGCCCACCGUGCAAUGCCGCCACUGGGGACCGAGGACCGCGCUUCGGCUAGGAUGCUGGCGUAAUGGUUGUAAGCGACCCGUCUUGAAACACGGACCAAG